This 250-nucleotide ribosomal RNA is filed under the name uncultured bacterium. RNAcentral describes it as "partial 16S ribosomal RNA". It matches the Rfam family "Bacterial small subunit ribosomal RNA", at positions 524 to 773 of the family's 1533-position model. The record is from RNAcentral.
UACGGAGGUUCCAAGCGUUGUUCGGAAUUACUGGGCGUAAAGGGAGCGCAGGCGGAGCGGUAAGUCUAAAGUGGAAUCCCGGGGCUCAACCUCGGACGUGCUUUGGAUACUGCUGUUCUUGAGUUCGCGAGAGGAAAGCGGAAUUCAGGGUGUAGCGGUGAAAUGCUUAGAUAUCCUGAGGAACACCAAUGGCGAAAGCAGCUUUCUGGCGCGUUACUGACGCUGAGGCUCGAAAGCGUGGGGAGCGAAC